RNAcentral lists this unclassified non-coding RNA (339 nucleotides) under soil metagenome. RNAcentral describes it as "partial contains 5.8S ribosomal RNA, internal transcribed spacer 2, and large subunit ribosomal RNA". The stretch from base 1 to 120 matches the Rfam family "5.8S ribosomal RNA", at positions 35 to 154 of the family's 154-position model. The record is from RNAcentral.
GAUGAAGAACGCAGCGAAAUGCGAUACGUAGUGUGAAUUGCAGAAUUCAGUGAAUCAUCGAAUCUUUGAACGCACAUUGCACCUCUCGGUAUUCCGGGAGGUAUGCCUGUUCGAGCGUCAUUUGUACCCUCAAGCUCUGCUUGGUGUUGGGUGUUUGUUCCGCCUCUGUGUGUGAACUCGCCUCAAAACAAUUGGCAGCCGGCGUACUUGUUUCGGAGCGCAGCACAUUUUGCGAUCCAGAUCAACGUACAGCGGCAUCCAAGAAGCCUUAUUUAACGCGCUUGACCUCGGAUCAGGUAGGGAUACCCGCUGAACUUAAGCAUAUCAAUAAGCGGAGGA